UCCUAUGUGAGUUGAAGUGAAAUUCUAGGUUUUUCUCAGUUUAAAAGAUAUUUUUAGACCUUCUUUGAUCUUUUUGAGCUUUGUUGCUUAUCACAAAUAAAUCAGGCAUAGUUAGCCCUUUUGAGCUUAUAAGCAUUUUGUUUGGCAACUGAUUAUAAGCAUACACCCAUUUUUUUCAUAAUUGAUUUAUUUGGAUCUUUGUACCUCUUAAAGCUGACUUUAGCCGUUUAUGUUCUCCCGAUAUGGAAACAAAUCAAUCAAAGGUUUCGAACCUUCUCUUACAACUCGAAGCUCAACGUUUCUAGUCGCGGGAAUUUGAGGUUUCACUCUGUCUACCGUCUCUCUGUCUAACAUCUCUCUGUUCCAACCCCCCCCCCCCCCCCCCCCGCAUACACCCAUUUUUUUCAUAAUUGAUUUAUUUGGAUCUUUGUACCUCUUAAAGCUGACUUUAGCCGUUUAUGUUCUCCCGAUAUGGAAACAAAUCAAUCAAAGGUUUCGAACCUUCUCUUACAACUCGAAGCUCAACGUUUCUAGUCGCGGGAAUUUGAGGUUUCACUCUGUCUACCGUCUCUCUGUCUAACAUCUCUCUGUUCCAACCCCCCCCCCCUCCCAACCCCCCUACCACUGCCAGUGCCGGCGUACAACCGGUAACCACCGGACCCCAGUAAGCAUUCUACCCCUGAUCCGAGUCAACUCAGUCGUAACUCGUCGGUGACUCAACGUACAUCUACUUCUGAACUAUUUAAUUCCAUCUCCUAAACUAUUUAAUUCCAUCUCCUAAGCUAUUUAAACUUUUAAAAUUUCUUUGUUAAUUUCCGAUUUUGCUUCUGUUUAAUUAUACAUCUUACAUAUUUAAGUUUUGGUCAAGCCAAAAGUCAAAUCUUUUUGGCUAUAUCAAUAUUUAUCUCUUUGUAUCUUUGGAUUUUUUGGAGACUGGUAGAUCGGUAAGUUGAGAAUUUUUUGUAAUACCCAAAUCUUGAUUUUUGAAAAUUUUGAUCACUGCUAAAAUAUACAGAGAAAAUUUUGUUCCAUAACACGCCACAUAAGCUGCCAUAUUUUACAGAUACUCUUUCCCAAAGUUCAAAGAAAGUCUUGAAAUUUGCUAAAGUUUUGAUUUUGUCUGCUUCUUUGUAAUUAAACCUCGAUUUGAUCAGACCCCAAAUCGUCUAUUACCUAACUUAGAAAAUAUUUAUACUUAUUUUUCUUUCUGAUUUAUACUGAUUUUUCUUUCUGAAAAAGAGUAUCUGAAACCCUCAACCGACAUCUUGCGCCGCCGCAAACAACUUGUAUUUUACCUAAUUUAUCAGAGUUUAGACCUAAUUGGCGGAUUCUUGGAUCAAAAGUUUGCGACGCCGACUUAUAUUUCUUCGAAAACUCUCCGACCUGCUUCAUCCAAGCUCAGAUCUAUUUCUCAUAUUGAUUCUUUUUAGGUUUCUCAAUUUUUUUACCCUCCUUUUUGGAAUUUUCUAGUUCUUAUUCUCCACCGAAAAUCUAUUGCAAGAAUUCUUCUACUAUUUUAGUUUAGCUCGCUAUUUUUUUCUUUUUUCUUCCUAUUCUCUCUUCUGCUUUUUGUGGGUGGGUGUGGGUGUGUUUUGUUUUCUUGGACAGGUGCCUUAUUUUUUCGGAGAGGAUUUUCGGCAAUACAGUACUUCUGACGACUCCCGUUCAGAUUUUCGGCAGGACGCAACAGAACUCCCCGUUCCAAUAAGCUUCAAGAAAACUUGCCCUACGUACUAGUCGCGGCGGCGAGGCCAUUUUGCGGCGUCUGGGAGUGAGGAGCAAAGAAACACCGGCCGGGACGUGCAAGAGUUGGUAGCAAUUGACCUCGGGCGCAUCAAAGCCUACUUUCAGGUUUUUCCACCGGGAGUUGGUACCUCCCGCUAUCUGGUUUGCAUCUUUUUGCGUAUUCCGCUAUUAGUGCGUGUGUGCGUCACUAUUCACCAUAGUAGGUUGGAGAGAUAGUGGCCGCGGCGGGGUAUGAUAAUGUAAGGUCAUGUCCUCGGGG
RNAcentral lists this long non-coding RNA (2005 nucleotides) under Nicotiana benthamiana. RNAcentral describes it as "long non-coding RNA (NBEN_LNC031916)". The record is from RNAcentral. Lineage: Eukaryota; Viridiplantae; Streptophyta; Magnoliopsida; Solanales; Solanaceae.